AGAGAUUAGUUUGAUCCUGGCUCAGGAUGAACGCUAGCGGCAGGCUUAAUACAUGCAAGUCGUGGGGCAGCACAGUGUAGCAAUACAUGGGUGGCGACCGGCAAACGGGUGCGUAACACGUACGCAACUUACCCAUUACAGAGGGAUAGCCCAGGGAAACUUGGAUUAAUACUUCAUAUUAUAUAGGGCUGGCAUCAGUUUUAUAUCAAAGCUACGGCGGUAAUGGAUGGGCGUGCGGUUGAUUAGAUAGUUGGCGGGGUAACGGCCCACCAAGUCUACGAUCAAUAGCUGAUGUGAGAGCAUGAUCAGCCACACGGGCACUGAGACACGGGCCCGACUCCUACGGGAGGCAGCAGUAAGGAAUAUUGGGCAAUGGACGCAAGUCUGACCCAGCCAUGCCGCGUGAAGGAUGAAGGUCCUCUGGAUUGUAAACUUCUUUUAUCUGGGGCGAAAACAACUCUUUCUAGAGUUCUUGACAGUACCAGAGGAAUAAGCACCGGCUAACUCCGUGCCAGCAGCCGCGGUAAUACGGAGGGUGCAAGCGUUAUCCGGAUUCACUGGGUUUAAAGGGUGCGUAGGCGGGCAGGUAAGUCAGUGGUGAAAUCCCCGAGCUUAACUCGGGAACUGCCGUUGAUACUAUCUGUCUUGAAUACUGUGGAGGUAAGCGGAAUAUGUCAUGUAGCGGUGAAAUGCUUAGAUAUGACAUAGAACACCAAUUGCGAAGGCAGCUUGCUACACGGUCAUUGACGCUGAGGCACGAAAGCGUGGGGAUCAAACAGGAUUAGAUACCCCGGUAGUCCACGCCCUAAACGAUGAUUACUCGACAUCAGCGAUACACUGUUGGUGUCUAAGCUAACGCAUUAAGUAAUCCACCUGGGAAGUACGAUCGCAAG
This 893-nucleotide ribosomal RNA is filed under the name uncultured bacterium. RNAcentral's name for it is "bacterial SSU rRNA". It matches the Rfam family "Bacterial small subunit ribosomal RNA", at positions 1 to 892 of the family's 1533-position model. The record is from RNAcentral.